AAAAACACCGGCUCUGCUACGAUCACCGAAAGUUAAGCAACGUCGAGCCUGGUCAUUACCUAGAUGGGUGCCCGCUUGGGAAUACCAGGUGUUGUAA
Molecule: non-coding RNA, 97 nt
Organism: Acanthosepion pharaonis
Lineage: Eukaryota; Metazoa; Mollusca; Cephalopoda; Sepiida; Sepiidae
Source: the annotation of a GenBank genome assembly